AAUCUUCCGCAAUGGACGAAAGUCUGACGGAGCAACGCCGCGUGAGGGAAGAAGGUCUUCGGAUCGUAAAACCCUGUUGCUAGGGAAGAACAAGUAUCGUUCGAUUAGGGCUGUAGCUUGACGGUAACUACCAGAAAGCCACGUCUAACUACGUGCCAGCAGCCGCGGUAAAACGUAGGUGGGAAGCGUUAUACGGAAUUCUUGGGCGUAAAGCGCGCGCAGGCGUUUUCUUAAGUCUGAUGUGAAAGCCGCCGGCUCAACCGUGGAGGGUCAUUGGAAACUGGGAAGCUUGAGUGCAGAAGAGGAGAGUGGAAUUCCAUGUGUAGCGGUGAAAUGCGUAGAGAUAUGGAGGAACACCAGUGGCGAAGGCGACUCUCUGGUCUGCAACUGACGCUGAGGCGCGAAAGAGUGGGGAGCGAACA
Molecule: ribosomal RNA, 422 nt
Filed under: uncultured bacterium
Lineage: Bacteria
Description: partial 16S ribosomal RNA
Rfam family: Bacterial small subunit ribosomal RNA
Source: RNAcentral